UCCUGUCCUUAAGGAACUUUCCCAUCCCGAAAAAAAAAAAGAUACGUACAUUCACUAUAAAAAAAAACCCAAAAAAAUCAGAGAAAACACAGAGAAAACUAGAGAGAAAAAGAAAGCAUAAAUCAAGAAAAAGAAGAAGACAAAAAUGAAAGAUCAGUCAAAAACAGAAAAGAAGAAACUUGGAGUUGGAUUUCUUGUCGAAGUUUCCAAUGACAAACAUUUGAAUUUUUACAUUAAUCCAUUAACAGGUUUUAUUUCAAAUUUGAAUUACUCAUUGUAUGAAAUUUUUAGUGAAUGAAAUUAUUAUCAAAUUUAUGUUAAUGAUUGAUGAUAUGUGAUGUUAUUUAUUUAGAAUACUGAAUUAUAAAAAAUAAUAUACAGACCAUAAAGCACACAUCAUACACUCACAGUCACAUUUUGUACAAAUAAAAAAUGUUGUGCGCACACAAAAAAUGAAAACCAGUGAAAAAGAGAUCAGAAAAUAGGGGAGUGAAUGGAAAAUGUUUAAUUUUCUUGAAUCUUUUGGCGAAUACACACCGGAAACCAUUAAAAUCGGCAACCACUGGCCAGCGUAUAAUACGGCUAAACCGCUGCUAACCUACAGGCCUUCUUCUAUCUCUUUCCAUUUUUAUCCUUUCUCUCUGUCAUUAACCAACCAACAUUAACAAAGCAAUUAGCGCCGCCAACCUCCAAAUCUUCCUUUUUUCUUUGAUUUUUAACCAGAUCUGUCGACCACCCCAUCGCCGCCGUCCGUUCCCUCUCCCUUUAGUUGCGCUGGCGUCAUCUUCCUUCUCUCCUUUUCUGUCGUCCCUCCUUUGUCUCCAUCUUACAAAUGGAGAACCAAUUAUGACGCCACCCUCUUUCCUCUCUUUUCCGUCGCGUCAUACCAGAAAUAAUCACCGGCGGCUCGAGUUUCAACAAAUAUCACCACUCCGGCAAACCCAUCACUGCCAUCGUAAAUCCCUUCGAAUUUCAUCGAUAGACCAUCAAACCCAUCGGAUUGUCGCGUCGUUAUUCUUUCUUUCUCUUUCUUCCUUUGUUGUCGUGUUUUGGGGUAUUUGUUAAAUAGAAUUGUGAACUUUUUGUUUUAAUUUAAAUUGUAAAACAAUAAAUACUGAUUAGAGUCUAUUUUUCUUUUACCACAUUUUAUUAUUAUUAAUUUUACAUAUUAGACCAUACUUAUUAUUUUUUAAUGUGUCAGGGAUUGCUUUACUUAUUGUUGAAAUUACUAUUAUGAGAAUAACCAAUUUUUUUUUUAUAGUAUGAAAUCAUCUUAAAAAAUGCAGGCUUAAUUUACUUCAGAAAAGUUAAGGAAAAACUAUCUUAAAUUUGUUGUUUUAUUUCAAUUCAUUAUUUUUAUUUAAAAAUUUGAAUUAAUUAUUUUUUUGGUAGUGGCAUGUUUUUUUUUACCAUCGAGUUAAAUAUGAAUUAAUCCCAAACCCAUUUAAUGAUAAAAAAUAAAAGAAUGAAUUUAGAUGUUCCGAAUUUGUAAAAGAUAAAUCACGCCUCUAAUGUUAGGAAAAUUUUAGAUAAUGUUUAAAAUUUUAUCUCGAUUAAGAAUGCGGCAUACGUAUCUUUCUGAGAUAUUUAAAAAUUCAAGGAUGCGAUAACGCACCUUGAAUUAUAUUUUCUAAGUUAACUCGCAUCAAUUUAUUUUAUAUAAGAAGACUAAACAAGUGUUAAUAUAUUAAAAAUGAGCGAAACAAGGCCUUAAAACAUAAUUUAUACAAAAUACUUAAAGCUAAGUAUAAGUCAAUAAGAGCGACCGUGCUAGAACCACGGGACUCAAGGGAUGCCCCAUACCUUUCCCUCGGUCAAUAGAAUUUCUUAUCCAGUCUUCUGUUUUUGCAGACCAAUAAAAUAGUCAAUUCCUUUUGAUUAGGGAUUCAAUAAGGUGACUUGAAAUACCAUAACUCAAUUCCAAGUGAUGACUCGGUAAAUAAAUUAAUCACUAUUCAAUAUCAUCACUUUAAUUGGAAAAACCCUUCGACCUUCACCUUCGAAGCCUCGAGUGAAAAAGGGGUAUGACAAAUGCCUCAUAUAAAUAGGUAAAUCAUUGCUUAUGAGAAUAAAGACAAAAAGUAUUGGUCUAAAAUAUAUAUUGCAUACAAUAGCACUUGUGUGCAUUAGACUAAUAAAUUAUGAUCAAUUCUUCCUUCUCAAUUAGUCCAGGGUCAAGAACCAUAUAUUUUUCAUCUAAUAGUAUUUUGACAUGCGGUAUGUAAUUAAUAGAUAUACCAUGAUUGACAAAAAUGGAUUCUCUAAAAUAGAUUGGAGUAUAUGUUAGUUUUCCUAACAUAAGGGGUAGAUAAUAAGCAUCUAAGAAAUCUAAUGUGAAUUAUCGUUAGUAUGAUCCUCAUUUAAAAGAUAAUUCUAGUCAAAUGUUAGAAGCAUUUACUAACCCAAAAUUGAUUUUAUAUUUAGCUGCAGAUGCUCCUACUAUAUGUCCCUGAAGGACAGAGUCUAUAGCAUACAUGAAGCAUGGUAGAUCAAUCAGUUCCAAAUAAAAUAAUUUUUUUAAAAAAAUGGAGCAAAUGAUCAUAAUAAAGAGGCAAUAUGCUCUUGAAGAGCAACGACAUAACACUUCGUGAACCCUCCAGAAGAGGUUCAGCUACCUGAAAAUAAUGAUGUGAUGAGAUCUCAAUAAUUAUGUCGUAAUAUGAACCGAUAGAAAUGAUAUCUCAUCGAUGAUAUCUUUUGUACAAUAGCG
This 2710-nucleotide long non-coding RNA is filed under the name Capsicum annuum. Its description in RNAcentral is "long non-coding RNA (CANN_LNC008301)". Lineage: Eukaryota; Viridiplantae; Streptophyta; Magnoliopsida; Solanales; Solanaceae. The record is from RNAcentral.